AAGCCAGUGGUGAACUCCACAUACGCAUCCUUUGCUGAGGAUACGGUUAACGGAGCGAAAGCGACGUUCAACCUCAAAAGAAGCAGAGGGGGCUUAGUGGUGGGGUGACUGCGUACCUUUUGUAUAAUGGGUCAGCGACUUAUAUUCUGUAGCAAGGUUAACCGCAUAGGGGAGCCGGAGGGAAACCGAGUCUUAAUUGGGCGUUAAGUUGCAGGGUAUAGACCCGAAACCCGGUGAUCUAGCCAUGGGCAGGUUGAAGGUUGGGUAACACUAACUGGAGGACCGAACCGACUAAUGUUGAAAAAUUAGCGGAUGACCUGUGGCUGGGGGUGAAAGGCCAAUCAAACCGGGAGAUAGCUGGUUCUCCCCGAAAGCUAUUUAGGUAGCGCCUCGUGAAUUCAUCUCCGGGGGUAGAGCACUGUUUCGGCUAGGGGGCCAUCCCGGCUUACCAACCCGAUGCAAACUGCGAAUACCGGAGAAUGUUAUCACGGGAGACACACGGCGGGUGCUAACGUCCGUCGUGAAGAGGGAAACAACCCAGACCGCCAGCUAAGGUCCCAAAGUCAUGGUUAAGUGGGAAACGAUGUGGGAAGGCCCAGACAGCCAGGAUGUUGGCUUAGAAGCAGCCAUCAUUUAAAGAAAGCGUAAUAGCUCACUGGUCGAGUCGGCCUGCGCGGAAGAUGUAACGGGGCUAAACCAUGCACCGAAGCUGCGGCAGCGACACUGUGUGUUGUUGGGUAGGGGAGCGUUCUGUAAGCCUGUGAAGGUGGCCUGUGAGGGUUGCUGGAGGUAUCAGAAGUGCGAAUGCUGACAUAAGUAACGAUAAAGCGGGUGAAAAGCCCGCUCGCCGGAAGACCAAGGGUUCCUGUCCAACGUUAAUCGGGGCAGGGUGAGUCGACCCCUAAGGCGAGGCCGAAAGGCGUAGUCGAUGGGAAACGGGUUAAUAUUCCCGUACUUGGUGUUACUGCGAAGGGGGGACGGAGAAGGCUAUGUUGGCCGGGCGACGGUUGUCCCGGUUUAAGCGUGUAGGUGUGUGUUCCAGGUAAAUCCGGUUCACUUUAACACUGAGGCGUGACGACGAGGCACUACGGUGCUGAAGCAACAAAUGCCCUGCUUCCAGGAAAAGCCUCUAAGCAUCAGGUAACAUCAAAUCGUACCCCAAACCGACACAGGUGGUCAGGUAGAGAAUACCAAGGCGCUUGAGAGAACUCGGGUGAAGGAACUAGGCAAAAUGGUGCCGUAACUUCGGGAGAAGGCACGCUGACACGUAGGUGAAGUGAUUUACUCAUGGAGCUGAAGUCAGUCGAAGAUACCAGCUGGCUGCAACUGUUUAUUAAAAACACAGCACUGUGCAAACACGAAAGUGGACGUAUACGGUGUGACGCCUGCCCGGUGCCGGAAGGUUAAUUGAUGGGGUCAGCGCAAGCGAAGCUCCUGAUCGAAGCCCCGGUAAACGGCGGCCGUAACUAUAACGGUCCUAAGGUAGCGAAAUUCCUUGUCGGGUAAGUUCCGACCUGCACGAAUGGCGUAAUGAUGGCCAGGCUGUCUCCACCCGAGACUCAGUGAAAUUGAACUCGCUGUGAAGAUGCAGUGUACCCGCGGCAAGACGGAAAGACCCCGUGAACCUUUACUAUAGCUUGACACUGAACAUUGAGCCUUGAUGUGUAGGAUAGGUGGGAGGCUUUGAAGUGUGGACGCCAGUCUGCAUGGAGCCGACCUUGAAAUACCACCCUUUAAUGUUUGAUGUUCUAACGUGGACCCGUAA
RNAcentral lists this ribosomal RNA (1765 nucleotides) under Salmonella enterica. RNAcentral's name for it is "partial 23S ribosomal RNA". It matches the Rfam family "Bacterial large subunit ribosomal RNA", at positions 1 to 2238 of the family's 2925-position model. The record is from RNAcentral. Lineage: Bacteria; Pseudomonadati; Pseudomonadota; Gammaproteobacteria; Enterobacterales; Enterobacteriaceae.